This 484-nucleotide ribosomal RNA is filed under the name uncultured bacterium. RNAcentral's name for it is "partial 16S ribosomal RNA". It matches the Rfam family "Bacterial small subunit ribosomal RNA", at positions 30 to 507 of the family's 1533-position model. The record is from RNAcentral.
AUUGAACGCUGGCGGCAUGCUUUACACAUGCAAGUCGAACGGCAGCGCGGACUUCUGUCUGGCGGCUAGUGGCGGACGGACGAGUAAUUUAUCUAAACGUGCCCAGUUGCGGGGGAUGACUAAGUGCAAGCAUAACUAAUACCUCACACGCCCUACCGGUGGAAGCAAGGGAGCGUCAGACCUUGCUCGUUUUGAGCGACCGAUAGCGGAUUAGCUAGUUGGUGAGGUAAGGGCUGACCAAGCCAGCGAUCCGUAGCUGGUUUGAGAGGACGACCAGCCACACUGGGACUGAGACACGGCCCAGACUCCUACGGGAGGCAGCAGUGGGGAAUUUUGGACAAUGGGGGCAAGCCUGAUCCAGCAAUCCCGCGUGCAGGAUGAAGGCCUUCGGGUUGUAAAGUACUUUUGGAAGGAAAGAAAAGUCGCUGGCUAAUAUCUAGAGAACAUGACGGUACCUGAAGAAUAAGCACCGGCUAACUACGUG